Molecule: transfer RNA, 75 nt
Filed under: Pseudomonadaceae bacterium
Lineage: Bacteria; Pseudomonadati; Pseudomonadota; Gammaproteobacteria; Pseudomonadales; Pseudomonadaceae
Description: tRNA-Glu
Rfam family: tRNA
About the family: Transfer RNA (tRNA) molecules are approximately 80 nucleotides in length. Their secondary structure includes four short double-helical elements and three loops (D, anti-codon, and T loops).
Source: RNAcentral
GACCCCAUCGUCUAGCGGUCAGGACGCUUCCCUUUCACGGAGGAAACCGGGGUUCGAUUCCCCGUGGGGUCGCCA